GGAGAGGUAUCGAAGCGGUCAUAACGAGGCGGUCUUGAAAACCGUUUGGCUUAACGGCCACGUGGGUUCGAAUCCCACCCUCUCCGCCA
Molecule: transfer RNA, 89 nt
Filed under: Ruminococcus sp.
Lineage: Bacteria; Bacillati; Bacillota; Clostridia; Eubacteriales; Oscillospiraceae
Also listed under: 1 other name
Description: tRNA-Ser
Rfam family: tRNA
About the family: Transfer RNA (tRNA) molecules are approximately 80 nucleotides in length. Their secondary structure includes four short double-helical elements and three loops (D, anti-codon, and T loops).
Source: RNAcentral